RNAcentral lists this transfer RNA (72 nucleotides) under Camelus ferus (Wild Bactrian camel). It matches the Rfam family "tRNA". From Rfam's summary of the family: Transfer RNA (tRNA) molecules are approximately 80 nucleotides in length. Lineage: Eukaryota; Metazoa; Chordata; Mammalia; Artiodactyla; Camelidae. The record is from Rfam by way of RNAcentral.
GAGGGUAUAGCUCGGUGCUAGAGCGUGUGCUUAGCAUGCAUGAGGUCCUGGGUUCGAUCCCCAGCUGCUCCA